CGGAGAGUAGCGCAGCCUGGCUAGCGCGCUUGGUUUGGGACCAAGAGGUCGCCGGUUCAAAUCCGGCCUCUCCGACCA
RNAcentral lists this transfer RNA (78 nucleotides) under Candidatus Acetothermia bacterium. RNAcentral describes it as "tRNA-Pro". It matches the Rfam family "tRNA". Rfam says of the family: Transfer RNA (tRNA) molecules are approximately 80 nucleotides in length. Their secondary structure includes four short double-helical elements and three loops (D, anti-codon, and T loops). The record is from RNAcentral. Lineage: Bacteria; Candidatus Bipolaricaulota.